UGAUGCGCGCAGCCUGAUCCAGCCAUGCCGCGUGUGUGAAGAAGGCCUUCGGAUUGUAAAGCACUUUAAGUUGGGAGGAAGGGGAUUAGGUUAAUACCUUGCUGUUUUGACGUUACCGACAGAAUAAGCACCGGCUAACUUCGUGCCAGCAGCCGCGGUAAUACGAAGGGUGCAAGCGUUAAUCGGAAUUACUGGGCGUAAAGCGCGCGUAGGUGGUUCGUUAAGUUGGAUGUGAAAGCCCCGGGCUCAACCUGGGAACUGCAUUCGAAACUGGCGAGCUAGAGUAUGGCAGAGGGGGGUGGAAUUUCCUGUGUAGCGGUGAAAUGCGUAGAUAUGGGAAGGAACACCGAUGGCGAAGGCGACCCCCUGGGCUAAUACUGACACUGAUGUGCGAAAGCGUGGGGAGCAAACAGGAUUAGAUACCCUGGUAGUCCACGCCCUAAACGAUGUCAACUAGCCGUUGGGAUCCUUGAGAUCUUAUUGGCGCACCUAACGCAUUAAUUCAACCGCCGGGGGAGAACGGCCCCAAGGUUAAAACUCAAAGGAAUUUUGCGGGG
This 557-nucleotide ribosomal RNA is filed under the name uncultured bacterium. Its description in RNAcentral is "bacterial SSU rRNA". It matches the Rfam family "Bacterial small subunit ribosomal RNA", at positions 369 to 919 of the family's 1533-position model. The record is from RNAcentral.